AGGAGCAUGUCAACCAUGACCAAAAGGAUGAUUUUGAUGCACACAUAUUUGAUGAAAUGCAGAUUGCUAUCUAGGUGUCCAGAUUGAGCCAGGAGAAUCAUUCAGGUUUGAUCAGUUACCAGAAGGUCUACGUGUUACCAGAAUUAGAGUCCUCAAAAUGUGAUAUAUUCAUUCACUAUACGGUCUCGACCCACGGCACGAAGACGACCUUGCCAUCGACAUGAACCAGGCCGUGUCAGAAGAAUAAUGAAGGUACUAAUAGAAUUGUAAAAGAGCCGUGACAAAGGUUCUCCAGGUUGCUGAUGUUUUUCUUUGUGAAAUUUAUCUUUCGGCCAAUCUAUAGUUGACUACUUGCAGUGUUUUCUUUUACCGAUUUAGGUCCAUUGCACUCAGGUUCAGGUUUUAGAUAUACUUAAAUCUGCCGUGGCACUAUUUUUCAUACAGAAGUGAAGAAAGGUUCAUAUUUUAUAUUGCGCCAUUGGACACUGGAAAUGUUUGGUCUUGUGUUGAUUUGGUUGGAAUCCUUGUAGUCAAGUUUAUUCCGAUGUACAAAAUAUAAGGAACAAAGGUAGGUCAAGGUAAGUCAGCUCAAAAGCUUUGU
Long non-coding RNA from Lolium rigidum, 601 nucleotides. RefSeq lists it as uncharacterized. The record is from RefSeq and is a predicted model, not a curated record. Lineage: Eukaryota; Viridiplantae; Streptophyta; Magnoliopsida; Poales; Poaceae. The transcript is spliced from 3 exons.